GACGAACGCUGGCGGCGUGCUUAACACAUGCAAGUCGAACGGAAAGGUCCUGCUUUUGUGGGGUGCUCGAGUGGCGAACGGGUGAGUAACACGUGAGUAACCUGCCCUUGCCUUUGGGAUAACUUCAGGAAACUGGGGCUAAUACCGGCUAGGAGCUCCUGCUGCAUGGUGGGGGUGGGUAAGUUUCGGCGGUUGGGGAUGUACUCGCGGCUUAUCAGCUUGUUGGUGGGGUAGUGGCUUACCAAGGCUUUGACGGGUAGCCGGCCUGAGAGGGUGACCGGCCACAGUGGGACUGAGAUACGGCCCAGACUCCUACGGGAGGCAGCAGUGGGGGAUAGUGCACAAUGGGCGGAAGCCUGAUGCAGCAACGCCGCGUGCGGGAUGACGGCCUUCGGGUUGGAAACCGCUUUCGCCUGUGACGAAGCGUGAGUGACGGUAAUGGGUAGAGAAGCACCGGCUAACUACGUG
RNAcentral lists this ribosomal RNA (468 nucleotides) under uncultured bacterium. RNAcentral's name for it is "partial 16S ribosomal RNA". It matches the Rfam family "Bacterial small subunit ribosomal RNA", at positions 28 to 507 of the family's 1533-position model. The record is from RNAcentral.